This 427-nucleotide ribosomal RNA is filed under the name uncultured Burkholderiales bacterium. RNAcentral's name for it is "bacterial SSU rRNA". It matches the Rfam family "Bacterial small subunit ribosomal RNA", at positions 8 to 437 of the family's 1533-position model. Lineage: Bacteria; Pseudomonadati; Pseudomonadota; Betaproteobacteria; Burkholderiales. The record is from RNAcentral.
AGAGUUUGAUCAUGGCUCAGAUUGAACGCUGGCGGCAUGCCUUACACAUGCAAGUCGAACGGCAGCGCGGGCUUCGGCCUGGCGGCGAGUGGCGAACGGGUGAGUAAUAUAUCGGAACGUGCCCAAGAGUGGGGGAUAACUAGUCGAAAGAUUAGCUAAUACCGCAUACGAUCUACGGAUGAAAGUGGGGGAUCGCAAGACCUCAUGCUCCUGGAGCGGCCGAUAUCUGAUUAGCUAGUUGGUGGGGUAAAGGCCUACCAAGGCGACGAUCAGUAGCUGGUCUGAGAGGACGACCAGCCACACUGGGACCGAGACACGGCCCAGACUCCUACGGGAGGCAGCAGGGGGGAAUUUUGGACAAUGGGGGCAACCCUGAUCCAGCAAUGCCGCGUGUGUGAAGAAUGCCUUCGGGUUGUAAAGCACUUUU